UUUGAUCUCAAAUCAGGUAGGACUACCCGCUGAACUUAAGCAUAUCAAUAAGCGGAGGAAAAGAAACUAACAAGGAUUCCCCUAGUAACUGCGAGUGAAGCGGGAAGAGCUCAAAUUUAAAAUCUGGCAAUCCUUGUGGUUGUCCGAGUUGUAAUCUAGAGAA
RNAcentral lists this ribosomal RNA (163 nucleotides) under uncultured Tricholoma. RNAcentral describes it as "partial 28S ribosomal RNA". It matches the Rfam family "Eukaryotic large subunit ribosomal RNA", at positions 1 to 157 of the family's 3401-position model. Lineage: Eukaryota; Fungi; Basidiomycota; Agaricomycetes; Agaricales; Tricholomataceae. The record is from RNAcentral.